GGUAAUACGGAGGGUGCAAGCGUUAAUCGGAAUUACUGGGCGUAAAGCGCACGCAGGCGGUCUGUCAAGUCGGAUGUGAAAUCCCCGGGCUCAACCUGGGAACUGCAUUCGAAACUGGCAGGCUAGAGUCUUGUAGAGGGGGGUAGAAUUCCAGGUGUAGCGGUGAAAUGCGUAGAGAUCUGGAGGAAUACCGGUGGCGAAGGCGGCCCCCUGGACGAAGACUGACGCUCAGGUGCGAAAGCGUGGGGAGCAAACAGGAUUAGAUACCCUGGUAGUCCACGCUGUAAACGAUGUCGAUUUGGAGGUUGUGCCCUUGAGGCGUGGCUUCCGGAGCUAACGCGUUAAAUCGACCGCCUGGGGAGUACGGCCGCAAGGUUAAAACUCAAAUGAAUUGACGGGGGCCCGCACAAGCGGUGGAGCAUGUGGUUUAAUUCGAUGCAACGCGAAGAACCUUACCUACUCUUGACAUCCAGA
This 474-nucleotide ribosomal RNA is filed under the name uncultured bacterium. Its description in RNAcentral is "bacterial SSU rRNA". It matches the Rfam family "Bacterial small subunit ribosomal RNA", at positions 519 to 992 of the family's 1533-position model. The record is from RNAcentral.